UACGGGGGGGGCAAGCGUUGUUCGGAAUUACUGGGCGUAAAGGGCUCGUAGGUGGCCAACUAAGUCAGACGUGAAAUCCCUCAGCUUAACUGGGGAACUGCGUCUGAUACUGGAUGGCUUGAGUUUGGGAGAGGGAUGCGGAAUUCCAGGUGUAGCGGUGAAAAUGCGUAGAUAUCUGGAGGAACACCGGUGGCGAAGGCGGCAUCCUGGACCGCAUUGACGCUAAAAGCGCAAAA
This 236-nucleotide ribosomal RNA is filed under the name uncultured bacterium. Its description in RNAcentral is "partial 16S ribosomal RNA". It matches the Rfam family "Bacterial small subunit ribosomal RNA", at positions 524 to 758 of the family's 1533-position model. The record is from RNAcentral.